UACGAAGGUGGCAAGUGUUAGCCGGCAUUAUUGGGCGUAAAGCGCGCACAGGUGGUUCCUUAAGUCUGAUGUGAAAGCCUACGGCUCAACCGUGGAGGGUCAUUGGAAACUGGGGAACUUGAGUGCAGAAGAGGAAAGUGGAAUUCCAAGUGUAGCGGUGAAAUGCGUAGAGAUUUGGAGGAACACCAGUGGCGAAGGCGACUUUCUGGUCUGUAACUGACACUGAGGCGCGAAAGCGUGGGGAGCAAACAGG
This 253-nucleotide ribosomal RNA is filed under the name uncultured bacterium. Its description in RNAcentral is "partial 16S ribosomal RNA". It matches the Rfam family "Bacterial small subunit ribosomal RNA", at positions 524 to 776 of the family's 1533-position model. The record is from RNAcentral.